Herpailurus yagouaroundi (jaguarundi) is the source of this 2314-nucleotide long non-coding RNA. RefSeq lists it as uncharacterized. The record is from RefSeq and is a predicted model, not a curated record. NCBI's taxonomy places the organism in Eukaryota, Metazoa, Chordata, Mammalia, Carnivora, Felidae. The transcript has 2 exons.
CCUGGCUGAAGUUGGACGCUUAACCGACUGCGCCACCCAGGCGCCCCAGCCUAGGUUUUGUGGCUAAAUUUCUUGGUGAGGCCUGCUCUUCAAAAGACUAUUUAUUGAACAAGAAAAAAACAACUGCAGAUGGCUGAGGUGAGGGUGGUACAGAUUGUAACCUUGCUACCUAUCAGUCUAUGUCAAUUCAUAGUCUCCUUUUCCAUUUCCUGUGCCUCUAAGGUCUAGUCCCAAUUAGUAAGAUACCCUCCCCGUGAGUACUUUUCAAAGACUUAUUUGUUGCUUUAAACCUUUGAGGGCUCCCAUAACCUACCAUCUAAAAUUUAACUCUUCAGCAUGAAAGUCAAGGUCCUUCACUAUAUGGCCCCAAGCCAUCUUCGUAUUCUCAUCUCCCACUUUGAUCCAACUCCCAACAAGUUCCAGUUCCCUGCCAAUGCAUUAUACUUUUGAGGAACACCUGGGUGGCUCAGUGGGUUAAGCAUCUAACUCUUGAUUUCGGCCCAAGUCAUGAUCUCAAGGUUCAUGAGUUUGAGCCCUGCGUUGUGCUCUCCACUGAUUGCACAGAGCUUGCUAGGGAUUCUGUCUCCCUCUCUCUCGACGACUCUUGCAUGCGUGCAUACUCUCUCUCAAAAUAAAUAAUAUAUAAACACUAAAAUUUUUUUGAAAUACCCCAAAUGUAUUUAAAGCACUAAAAAUAAAAUAUGCCAUUUACCCACCUUAUCCACAUCUUCCCUUCCCAGAGAUAAACACUAUCCAUCCUUCUCGUGCUGUAUAUGUUUCCAUACUUUUACUAUAGAAAUGCCCUUAAUAUUAUUUUGGGGUUAAAAAAAGUAAUGUUAAUGGCAUCAAAAGGGACAUAUUCUUUUGAAGCUUGCUUGCCAUUUUCACUCAACAUUGUUUUUGACAUUUAUUUAUCCAUCGUGCUGACUAAUUUUAUGUGGCAACAUGACUGGGCCACGGAGUGCCCAGAUAUUUGGUUAAACAUUCCUGGUGCGUCUGUGAGGGCUUUUCUGGAUGAGAUUAACAUUUGAAUCCAUAGACCGAAGUAAAGCCUAUUGCCCUCCCCAGUGUGGUUUGGCCUCAGUCAGUCCAUUGUCAACUGUCAACUUGAAUUAAAACAAAAAGGCAUACUACGAGAGAAUGCUUUCUAUCCUCUUGACUGUCUUUGAACUGAGACAAUGGCCUUCCUCUGUCUUUGGACUCGGACUGGAACUUAUACCAAUGGGCUCUCUGGUUUGUCAGGCCUUCAGAAUCAGAUUGGAAAUACAUCAGCUCUCCUGGUGCUCCAACUGCUGACUUCAGAUCCUGGGACUUCUCUGCCUCCACAACCAUGUGAGCCAAUUUCUUAUAACAAAUUAAGAAACAUAUCUAGAUAUCUAGAUAUCUAGAUAGCUAUAUCUCCAUCCUACUGGCUCAGACUAGUACAUCCAUAUUGACAAAACUUAGUGGGUUUUGUUUUUUUUGUUUAUUUUAGACAGUGUAAAGUGUGCAUGCAAGUCGGGGAGAGGGGCAGAGGAGAGAGAGAAUCCCAAGCAGACUCCACACCCAGCACCGAGUUGCUCAACCAAGCCACCUAGGUGCCCCAAGAAAACCUAGUUUUUAAUCGCGACAUAAUAUUCCAACUGCAUGAGUAAAUCAAUUUAUUCCAUCCCUCUAGUGAAAGAUCACGGAGACAUCUCCACUUUUUCCCCCCUAGAAAAGUGUAGUUUCCUUGGGCCCAUAUGCUACUUUCUCCCAAGAAUAAUUAUUACUAAUAUUUAGCUUUACUAGUUAUUGUUAAGCUGUUUUUCCAAAGUGGUGUUAAGUGGUUUCUGUUCGUUUUAAUUUACAUACUGACUUCUGGUAAGGUAGAGCACCUUUUUGUUGAUUUCUUAUCCAUUAGCAUAUGUUUCCUCUAGAAACUGCCUAUUCAUAUCCUUUGCUCCUUCCCCUGCCUUUGUCUUACUAUUGGGUUGUCUUUGUUUCUUUGUAUCUGUAUUCUGGAUAACAAGAUUUUGUUAAUCAAAGGUGUUGCAGGUUUGACAGAGAUAGUCUUCUAGAGCUUUUUUAUCUGGGAGGUGGUGGCGGUGGUAGCGUAAGCAUCCCACGUGGUCUGCAUCAUCAUGCACAUGUCUCUCUAGAGCAGUGCCAUGGAUAACUGACCUGAGACCACUUUCAUGCAAGUUCUUACUUGGGGAUGGGGUGGGGGUGGGGGUCAUGACGGUUCCUAGACCACACAGGAAGUAGCUAUUUGAAGUUCUCAAAUUCAUGGGGGAGGGGAAGAAAAAAAAAAAGAGGUUAGAGAGGGAGAGAGCCAAAGUAUAAGAGACUCUUA